GAUGAACGCUGGCGGCGUGCCUAAUACAUGCAAGUCGAGCGAACAGACGAGGAGCUUGCUCCUCUGACGUUAGCGGCGGACGGGUGAGUAACACGUGGAUAACCUACCUAUAAGACUGGGAUAACUUCGGGAAACCGGAGCUAAUACCGGAUAAUAUAUUGAACCGCAUGGUUCAAUAGUGAAAGACGGUUUUGCUGUCACUUAUAGAUGGAUCCGCGCCGCAUUAGCUAGCUGGUAAGGUAACGGCUUACCAAGGCAACGAUGCGUAGCCGACCUGAGAGGGUGAUCGGCCACACUGGAACUGAGACACGGUCCAGACUCCUACGGGAGGCAGCAGUAGGGAACCUUCCGCAAUGGGCGAAAGCCUGACGGAGCAACGCCGCGUGAGUGAUGAAGGUCUUCGGAUCGUAAAACUCUGUUAUUAGGGAAGAACAAAUGUGUAAGUAACUAUGCACGUCUUGACGGUACCUAAUCAGAAAGCCACGGCUAACUACGUG
This 497-nucleotide ribosomal RNA is filed under the name uncultured bacterium. RNAcentral describes it as "partial 16S ribosomal RNA". It matches the Rfam family "Bacterial small subunit ribosomal RNA", at positions 28 to 507 of the family's 1533-position model. The record is from RNAcentral.